CCUACGGGGUGCAGCAGUGGGGAAUAUUGCACAAUGGGCGCAAGCCUGAUGCAGCCAUGCCGCGUGUAUGAAGAAGGCCUUCGGGUUGUAAAGUACUUUCAGCGGGGAGGAAGGUGUUAUGGUUAAUAACCACAGCAAUUGACGUUACCCGCAGAAGAAGCACCGGCUAACUCCGUGCCAGCAGCCGCGGUAAUACGGAGGGUGCAAGCGCUAAUCGGAAUUACUGGGCGUAAAGCGCACGCAGGCGGUCUGUCAAGUCGGAUGUGAAAUCCCCGGGCUCAACCUGGGAACUGCAUUCGAAACUGGCAGGCUAGAGUCUUGUAGAGGGGGGUAGAAUUCCAGGUGUAGCGGUGAAAUGCGUAGAGAUCUGGAGGAAUACCGGUGGCGAAGGCGGCCCCCUGGACAAAGACUGACGCUCAGGUGCGAAAGCGUGGGGAGCAAACUGGAUUAGAUACCCGUGUAGUC
RNAcentral lists this ribosomal RNA (465 nucleotides) under uncultured bacterium. Its description in RNAcentral is "bacterial SSU rRNA". It matches the Rfam family "Bacterial small subunit ribosomal RNA", at positions 338 to 795 of the family's 1533-position model. The record is from RNAcentral.